RNAcentral lists this ribosomal RNA (652 nucleotides) under Escherichia coli. RNAcentral describes it as "partial 23S ribosomal RNA". It matches the Rfam family "Bacterial large subunit ribosomal RNA", at positions 1233 to 1869 of the family's 2925-position model. The record is from RNAcentral. Lineage: Bacteria; Pseudomonadati; Pseudomonadota; Gammaproteobacteria; Enterobacterales; Enterobacteriaceae.
GGAGCGUUCUGUAAGCCUGCGAAGGUGUGCUGUGAGGCAUGCUGGAGGUAUCAGAAGUGCGAAUGCUGACAUAAGUAACGAUAAAGCGGGUGAAAAGCCCGCUCGCCGGAAGACCAAGGGUUCCUGUCCAACGUUAAUCGGGGCAGGGUGAGUCGACCCCUAAGGCGAGGCCGAAAGGCGUAGUCGAUGGGAAACAGGUUAAUAUUCCUGUACUUGGUGUUACUGCGAAGGGGGGACGGAGAAGGCUAUGUUGGCCGGGCGACGGUUGUCCCGGUUUAAGCGUGUAGGCUGGUUUUCCAGGCAAAUCCGGAAAAUCAAGGCUGAGGCGUGAUGACGAGGCACUACGGUGCUGAAGCAACAAAUGCCCUGCUUCCAGGAAAAGCCUCUAAGCAUCAGGUAACAUCAAAUCGUACCCCAAACCGACACAGGUGGUCAGGUAGAGAAUACCAAGGCGCUUGAGAGAACUCGGGUGAAGGAACUAGGCAAAAUGGUGCCGUAACUUCGGGAGAAGGCACGCUGAUAUGUAGGUGAAGUCCCUCGCGGAUGGAGCUGAAAUCAGUCGAAGAUACCAGCUGGCUGCAACUGUUUAUUAAAAACACAGCACUGUGCAAACACGAAAGUGGACGUAUACGGUGUGACGCCUGCCCGGUGC